Molecule: ribosomal RNA, 424 nt
Filed under: uncultured bacterium
Lineage: Bacteria
Description: bacterial SSU rRNA
Rfam family: Bacterial small subunit ribosomal RNA
Source: RNAcentral
GGAAUCUUCCACAAUGGACGAAAGUCUGAUGGAGCAACGCCGCGUGAGUGAAGAAGGGUUUCGGCUCGUAAAACUCUGUCGUUAAAGAAGAACAUAUCUGAGAGUAACUGUUUAGGUAUUGACGGUAUUUAACCAGAAAGCCACGGCUAACUACGUGCCAGCAGCCGCGGUAAUACGUAGGUGGCAAGCGUUGUCCGGAUUUAUUGGGCGUAAAGCGAGCGCAGGCGGUUUCUUAAGUGUGAUGUGAAAGCCCCCGGCUCAACCGGGGAAGGUCAUUGGAAACUGGGAGACUUGAGUGCAGAAGGGGAGAGUGGAAUUCCAUGUGUAGCGGUGAAAUGCGGAGAUAUAUGGAGGAACACCAGUGGCGAAGGCGGCUCUCUGGUCUGUAACUGACGCUGAGGCUCGAAAGAGUGGGGAGCAAACA